Molecule: ribosomal RNA, 393 nt
Filed under: uncultured bacterium
Lineage: Bacteria
Description: partial 16S ribosomal RNA
Rfam family: Bacterial small subunit ribosomal RNA
Source: RNAcentral
AUACGGAAGGUCCGGGCGUUAUCCGGAUUUAUUGGGUUUAAAGGGAGCGCAGGCGGAGAUGCAAGCGUGACGUCAAAUUUCGGGGCUCAACCCCGUCUCGCGUCGCGAACUGCGUCCCUUGGUUGCGGGAAGGGGAGGCGGAACUCGUGGUGUAGCGGUGAAAUGCAUAGAUAUCACGAAGAACUCCGAUCGCGAAGGCAGCCUUCCGGCCCGUCAACGACGCUCAUGCUCGAAGGUGCGGGCAUCAAACAGGAUUAGAUACCCUGGUAGUCCGCACAGUAAACGAUGGACACCCGCGGUUUGGCCUGUAUGGCUGAGCCGCCAAGCGAAAGCGUUAAGUGUCCCACCUGGGGAGUACGCCGGCAACGGUGAAACUCAAAGGAAUUGACGGGG